Molecule: ribosomal RNA, 910 nt
Filed under: uncultured bacterium
Lineage: Bacteria
Description: bacterial SSU rRNA
Rfam family: Bacterial small subunit ribosomal RNA
Source: RNAcentral
ACGCUGGCGGCAGGCUUAACACAUGCAAGUCGAACGGUAACAGGAAUUAGCUUGCUAAUUUGCUGACGAGUGGCGGACGGGUGAGUAAUGCUUGGGAAUCUGGCUUAUGGAGGGGGAUAACUACGGGAAACUGUAGCUAAUACCGCGUAAAAUCUUCGGAUUAAAGGGUGGGACUUUCGAGCCACCUGCCAUAAGAUGAGCCCAAGUGGGAUUAGGUAGUUGGUUAGGUAAAGGCUGACCAAGCCGACGAUCUCUAGCUGGUCUGAGAGGAUGACCAGCCACACUGGAACUGAGACACGGUCCAGACUCCUACGGGAGGCAGCAGUGGGGAAUAUUGCACAAUGGGGGGAACCCUGAUGCAGCCAUGCCGCGUGAAUGAAGAAGGCCUUCGGGUUGUAAAGUUCUUUCGGUGACGAGGAAGGUUGAUAGGUUAAUAGCCUAUCAAAUUGACGUUAAUCACAGAAGAAGCACCGGCUAACUCCGUGCCAGCAGCCGCGGUAAUACGGGGGGUGCGAGCGUUAAUCGGAAUAACUGGGCGUAAAGGGCACGCAGGCGGUGACUUAAGUGAGAUGUGAAAGCCCCGAGCUUAACUUGGGAAUUGCAUUUCAUACUGGGUCGCUAGAGUACUUUAGGGAGGGGUAGAAUUCCACGUGUAGCGGUGAAAUGCGUAGAGAUGUGGAGGAAUACCGAAGGCGAAGGCAGCCCCUUGGGAAUGUACUGACGCUCAUGUGCGAAAGCGUGGGGAGCAAACAGGAUUAGAUACCCUGGUAGUCCACGCUGUAAACGAUGUCGAUUUGGGGAUUGGGCUUUGAGCUUGGUGCCCGUAGCUAACGUGAUAAAUCGACCGCCUGGGGAGUACGGCCGCAAGGUUAAAACUCAAAUGAAUUGACGGGGGCCCGCACAAGCGGUG